GGGCCCGCACAAGCGGUGGAGUAUGUGGUUUAAUUCGAUGCAACGCGAAGAACCUUACCAGGGCUUGACAUCCUGCGAAUCUCUGGGAAACCGGAGAGUGCCUUCGGGAACGCAGUGACAGGUGGUGCAUGGCUGUCGUCAGCUCAUGUCGUGAGAUGUUGGGUUAAGUCCCGCAACGAGCGCAACCCACGUCUUUAGUUGCCAGCAUUUAGUUGGGCACUCUAGAGAGACUGCCGGUGAUAAACCGGAGAAGGUGUGGAUGACGUCAAGUCAUCAUGCCCCUUACAUCUGGGCUACACACGUACUACAAUGCUACGGACAAAGGGCUGCAAGUUCGCGAGGACAAGCAAAUCCCAUAAACGUGGCUC
Molecule: ribosomal RNA, 368 nt
Filed under: uncultured bacterium
Lineage: Bacteria
Description: bacterial SSU rRNA
Rfam family: Bacterial small subunit ribosomal RNA
Source: RNAcentral